GAUUCCAUUUUCUGUUCGGAUUCCAGCAUGAAAACACGUUCAGCAUCAUCAAAGUCUUCAUUUAAAAAAAGUGAACAUUUGCACCAGGUGAGACUUGAGCGCGAGGGCUUCACCUGCGGAGCACGUGGAGAUGGAGCCUGAACACCUCGCAGGUUCAGAGACUCACAGACCGGGAUCUGAUGGAGAAAACAGCGGAACCGAGCCGGCUGCAGAUGAUAUGGACGGUUUCCGGUCAUUUCGGGAUUUUCCCAAUCAUGUUAGAGAUCCAGGAAUAUCUUGGAAAAUGGUUUGAAUGUGGAACAAAGUGGAUGUUCAGGAUGUUUUCAACUGUUUUUGGAAGGAGCCUCAUCAUCACCACAAAGACUCUGUUUCUGAUUCCUAAAAGUUCUCCUCCUGGACUGAGACAGAACCGGAAUACCUCUCAGGGAUGAACUUCUCCGGCUCGGGCCAGUAUUCCGGGUCGUAAUGGAGGAAGCCUGCAGGAAUCUCCAGCGUUGCUCCUUUUGGGAGGCGCAGGCCGUUGACCACACAGUCCUCCUCCACUUCUCUAGCGAACCUGGAUGGGAGGUUCAGCACAGCUCCAUGACUCUGUGAACCCAGCACCUCCUUCUGACCACAUCAGCUCACCUGAAUCCAGGAGGGUAGAGCCGCAGCGUCUCGGAUACGACCAUGUCCAUGUACUUCAGCUCCUGGACGUUGGUGUAAUCAGGUGACUCCUGCAAAUACAAGAGGGCGGAGUUACAAUAUGAAAGCAUGAGAGACUAGUAGAGGAGCAGAAGACGACAACUCACAUGUCUGCUGAAGAAGUCAUCCACCUCCUGCUGAACUCGGCGGUGACACUCGGGGUGGGUGGCCAGCAGGUAGCAGGUGAAGCCCAGAGUGCUGCUGGUGGUUUCGUAGCCCGCCAGGAGGAAGAUGAAAGCCUGCCCCACGAUUUCAUCCUCGGUCAUCAUCUUCUUCUGCGGACGUCUGAGCGCCGACUCCUCCGAGUGGCUGUUGUCUUGAUCCGACGGUUUGGAGCUCGCCACCGCCUCGUCUCCGUGGUUCGAGGUGUCGAACUGGUCCAGAGACGCACACUCUUUGCCCGUUCGAGCGUCCAGCAUCAGCUGCAGGAAGUCUCUGCGCCUCUGCCAAAAUAAAACCCAAACGCUGGAGUUUUACCGUCGUCCCGGACAGGAAGAGUGAAGGGAAAGUCACCUGGUCUGGAGGCUGCUCUUCUCUCUGCUUGAUGAUCUUCUGGAUGCUGUGGAUGAAGAAAUUACUCAUCUGGUCUCGUCGUUUGUUUGGGAUGAAUCGCGCCAGAGGAGCCAUGAUGGACGGGAAAGCAACUGCAGACAGGAAACCGGCGCUGCUUUUACCUCCGAGCGCUCGCGUUCUGACGUAAACCUGCUCAGGGACUUACUGAAAAACAUCAUCAUGGGCCUGAAGAAGGAAAAGGUGAAGAACAUUUGGGCGUGGUGGACGAACGGGUCGUCGGGUUUGUUCUGGGAGUCCACCUGGGUAGCGAAGGCCACGCUGGCGAUCACGUCCAUGGUGAAAAAGCCAAAACACCUGCAGAGGCGCACAAACGGGACGCGUCACGCCCGAACAGAACGUCUUAACUCCGCCCUUUUCAUGAUUACCUGUGGAUGUCGAAAGCCUGGCCGGACUCGGCGUGGGUGUUCAGGUUCUUCAUCAGAACUUCUGUUACCGUGUUGAUGAGCGGAACCAUCUGGAAAUAAAAGGUUAUUACAUUAGCGUUGUUUUAAUUCAGAUUAGAGGCACUUAGAAAAUAAACUAAAGGACAUCUGCUGACACCAGGAGGCCGUGUUCGCUCUAGACUUCCUCCAAAAUGCACAGAUUGAACAAAACUUUGAUAAACAGA
Oryzias melastigma (Indian medaka) is the source of this 1864-nucleotide long non-coding RNA. RefSeq lists it as uncharacterized. NCBI's taxonomy places the organism in Eukaryota, Metazoa, Chordata, Actinopteri, Beloniformes, Adrianichthyidae. The transcript is spliced from 2 exons. The record is from RefSeq and is a predicted model, not a curated record.